UUCUAUCUACGAAUUUUUUUCAAUGAUCAGUACUCAUUCCUUUUUCCUGCUUAGAUGCUAGAAAUGGUGGUCCGUCUUAUCGAAUGAUACAAUUUUCUUGUUACGGAUUUUAGGCGUCCCGAGUUUCUUUUAAUAAAUUUCUUCUUUCUUAAAAAAGACAUGUUAUUUCCGUUUUUGGAAAGUGGCAUAUUUUUCAGGCUUGUGAUUCUCCUUCAAUGACAUAGAAAAUGGUAUCAAUCGGUAACUGAAUCUCCAUGCUCUGAGUCGGAUAAAGGAACGAGUAUUUGAUCGGACACUUUUCCGGCGCCGCGAAUCUUUCGACGGUUUUUCAAGAAUCCGGUGAUUCUCUUUUAGUAGUAUCCAGAAAGGAGAUGAUCCACGAAAGAAUCUCAACCUGCUUCGCGAGGGGCCCAAAUAUAUGCCGGCAGCUGCUUUUCAAACCAGUCUGUUCCUCCAUUCAGAAGCACUUGCUACUGAAAAAGAUAUGGAACUAAGCAAGGGUGACAGCGACGCUGCCUCUUCAUUCCUCAUUUGGUGCACGUAAUUGCCUAUUCGGAUUGGCUACAUUUGAUUCUACCGGUAGUAAUCCAUUCAAGAAGCUGCUUGCACUUAUCUUCCCACAGUUGGAAUUAGGAUGAUUUUCAAUUUUUUGUGUGUUAAUGUCCACGCCAUCUUCAUGAAUUCGGGUGACGGUCCUCGAAUCGUCGAAAAUUUUGUGGGCUAUUCAGAAACGACCUAAUGAACAAUAGUCAUUGUUUCGCCAUGACCGUUCCUUAUUUUUUUGGCACUUUUAGGGUAAUAAAACAAAGAUUCGGGACAAUUUCUAAUUUUUUAUUUACUAAUGUCCUCGUCAUCUUUAUGAAUUCGUGCGACAGGCACCGAAUCGCCUAAAUUUUGUGGACCCA
Molecule: long non-coding RNA, 905 nt
Organism: Nicotiana attenuata
Lineage: Eukaryota; Viridiplantae; Streptophyta; Magnoliopsida; Solanales; Solanaceae
Exons: 2
Source: RefSeq, a predicted model, not a curated record